Molecule: ribosomal RNA, 197 nt
Filed under: Staphylococcus aureus
Lineage: Bacteria; Bacillati; Bacillota; Bacilli; Caryophanales; Staphylococcaceae
Description: partial 16S ribosomal RNA
Rfam family: Bacterial small subunit ribosomal RNA
Source: RNAcentral
UUUAUGGAGAGUUUGAUCCUGGCUCAGGAUGAACGCUGGCGGCGUGCCUAAUACAUGCAAGUCGAGCGAACGGACGAGAAGCUUGCUUCUCUGAUGUUAGCGGCGGACGGGUGAGUAACACGUGGAUAACCUACCUAUAAGACUGGGAUAACUUCGGGAAACCGUAGCUAAUACCGGAUAAUAUUUUGAACCGCAUG